AUGCCUGGAAUGGAGGAUUUGGUCAAACUGUUCAAUGUAUGGGAAAUUCAGCUGUUUGUGCUCCUCAGUUUCACACUACAAAUUUUCUUGUUCUUUACUGGCAGCCUUCGACGGCAUAGCUGCAGCAUGCUACUAAGACUCUCCAUUUGGGCAGCUUAUCUCGGGGCAGACUUUGUAGCAGUGUAUACCCUUGGCCUCAUCUCACGACUUGGGGAUAUCACCACUGAAAUGCAUACACCAGGGGAAAUAUCACCACUGGCUUUCUUUUGGGCACCAUUUCUUCUCAUCCAUAUUGGCGGGCAGGACACUAUUACUGCCUUUGCCAUGGAAGACAACAAUUUGUGGUUGAGGCAUUUGCUGAAUCUGGUGGUGCAAUCUGUCUUAGCUAUAUAUGUUUUCUGGAAGUCCAUUGGAAGACACAGCCCGGUGCUUAUAGUGUCUGGUGUCUUUGUGUUUGUUGUUGGAAUUAUCAAGUAUGCGGAAAGAACUUGGUCUCUCAAGAGUGGUUGCUACAAAAUCUUUGAGAGCUCAAGUGGACAUCAUUACAAAAAGUUGCCACACCAUGAUAGCGCAGAGAAGAUGGACAAGGAUGGGUAUGAUAGCAUUGUUUACAUAACUCUGUGUUCAAUGCCACGUGCCCAUAAUAUCAUUUGUGGACACGACAUCUUGUCUAGUGAAGAGGAUAUUGAUCUUGUCUCCUCAUGGUGGUCAAUCGGAGAUGACAGCAAAAAGGUGAUCAAGAUAGUCGGUAUUAUUCUUAGUGUGAUGUAUGCUGAUCUGUACACUAAGGCUCUCGUGGUCAGAACAAGGAGUGCUAUCAUACUUAGAUGCAUCUCUCAGAUGUCCGCUGUUGUUGCUUUCGCUAUGUUCUUUGCAAGUGACAAGCAAAGGUAUAGCAAAACUGACAUUGCAAUCACUUAUUCCCUUUUUUGGGGAGGUUUUUUCCUAGAACUCUGUGCGAUGUUUAUUUUCAUGAUGUCACCCUGGACAUGGGCAUGGCUGAAGGUUCGGAAGUGGGAUAAGCUUGCCAUGCUGUCCUGGCUUAUUUUUUCCAGUGACCUUGGAUGGUCGGAGAAGAAGCAAUGUUUUGUCAGGUCAAUGGGACAGUACAACUAUUCGAGCUGGAUGACUGGCAAUACCCGAGCCAGAACAUUCAGUCAAGGAGUGAUGGCCAUGGUCAAAUGGUUUGCGGGUUUGGUCCAUGUUGAAAAGAAGAAAAUAUUUUGGAUGAGCAAGCUGUUAGACACAGAGUGCGUGGAUGUGGAUGAGUUCACAAUGGAGUGUAUUGCAGGGCAGAUUCGUCUCUUUAGGGAUGUAAACUCCCUUGUAGGCUACAUUAGAUUAAGCAUGCUAUGGAAUAACUUGUUGGCAAGUAUUCCAGAUUUUGGUAUUGGUAUUGUGGCGUUGCAUGUAUUGACUGAGAAACAUUUGAGUGAAGUACAUGAGGCAAACACUGCAGGAGUGGGUAUGAACAUGAUGGAGGUAUGCCGGAAACUAUCCAGAUACAUGAUGUACCUUUUGGCUACCCACCCUUCUAUGCUGCCGCUCAGUGCUAGCCCGGAAGCUAUAUUUCUUAAGGAUCCCAUAGAGCUUGAGUUUAUAGUCCAUGGGGUUCUGGGACUUGUCUUGCCAUCAAACAGGAAAAAAUUGCUCGAGGAGUUAGCUUCCGUGUGGGCGAGGCUCCUUAUUUACGCUGCAGGCAAGUCGAGGCCGGAGAGGCACAUGGAACAACUGAGCACAGGAGGGGAGUUCAUCACCUUCGUCUGGCUGCUCAUGUCCAGCCAUGGCCUCGGAGAUUCACAAUUGAAGAGGAUUGGACUCACCAAUACUAAUCCUCAAGAAAGGAGUCUGCAACAGGUAUACGCCUUCCCUGAUCAUGAAGCAGAUUCACUGGAAGAUGCAGCAAAUUCAUCGGAAGAACCUAGCAGCAGCGAGGGUGAAAUAGGAAGAGUGAGAGAGCGGGGUGAAAUAAACGGAUGA
Molecule: ribosomal RNA, 1980 nt
Filed under: Triticum aestivum (bread wheat)
Lineage: Eukaryota; Viridiplantae; Streptophyta; Magnoliopsida; Poales; Poaceae
Description: partial small subunit ribosomal RNA
Source: RNAcentral